UUUCGUUGUUUUCACAGUUUUUUACUGUUUUUCUCGACAGUUUCUUACUGUAUAAGUUGUUUACAGUUUGUUACUAUAGAUUUGUUGUUUCCACAGUAUUUUAAUGUAUUUUCAACAGUUUUUUACUGCAUAAGCUUUGUACAGUAGGCUACUGUAGUUUUCCAAUGCAUUAUGGGAAAUAUUACUCUGAAUACAGUAUUACCAACCAACUGCAAAACACAAUGACAAACGUCUAUUUAUAUCUUAAAUGCUUAAAUUUUUUUGUGAGAUAUUUGGUUUAAUGUCUGUUUUCACAUCAGAUGCUCGGUGUGUUCCUUUAACAUAAAUCAGGUGCCUUUUCUGAGGCUUUAAUGAAAUCACCAGCCAAUUCAAUAGACAUACCAUCAGUUCUUAAUAUUGUUGCCUCUGGGUCACAAAAUGUAUUUUUAAGAUUAGUUUAGGCGAUAAUAUAUAUGUAUAAUCUUCAAAUAACAGUCGAUUAGUUAAAAAAGCGCUAAUUUUAGAAUUUGAUUAAACAAAUGCGGAGGGUUCAGGCGCGAGUCGGUCACGUGAUGUGCUCCUCAGUUCUGUCAGUAGGGGGAGUGGGAGAACGCGUGUGUGUCGUCGUAUCUGUUCUGCUCAUCUAGCGCGUAUUUCUUUAUUAAUAUCUGCUGGGUGAAUAUUAAUACGUAUAUGCUAACAUUAAUUUUGUGACCACAAAAUGACAGCGAGCUAUUAUACGAGAUAUUGUGUCGUCGUGUUUGUCUUCACUCACUUCAUCAUUAUCUGGUAAGUGCUAUAUGCAAUAUCUGGUAUGAGACUUUAUUGGCACUAAAGGGUUCUUUCGGCUAAAUUUUACUUAAUUUCUGUCAUAACAGCAAACAACUUCUGCAAUUACACAAUGAUUGUCUGCCUGUGUGCAAAAUAAAGCACGUUCACUGUGUAAAACCCCGCGCAGGACAUUUUCAAAUUAACGGUCAGGGCGAGUCUGAGCUUAUCGUGUUGUGUUGACAGAGACUUUGCUGAGGUAAGUAAGAGAAAGAAAUUAAUGUGUUAAAUAAAUAACGUUAUAAACUUGAAUUAUGUUGUGCCAGAAUACGUUGUUUAAUGAAUAUCUGUGGAAUAGGUUUAAAAUAAUACAUUAAUGACUGAACGUGAACUUGACUGAACAUUAUGGCAGCUAGAAGUAUUGAAAAGACGUAUAAUAGAUUUAACAAUGUUUUAUCUUCUUUAUUAGUGUAUGUAAAUCUGGGCUACAGUCCACGACAAAUUUUCUACGGUAGUUUUACGCCUGCAUGCUGGUCCUUUCGUCUAUCGCGGGGAUAUCAUCACUUCAGCGGACAUCGCACUGAAGAGAUCCUUCCUGUGCUUGCGUGGCGGUGUGUUUGUGUGCUCACUUGGAUUGAGACCAGCAGUGCUUUUUUAAACAGUGGAUUCUUUAUGACAUCAAGAUGUGGUUUGGGAAGGACCUUCAUCUAAAUCUGAAGACAGGACAUACUGGCUCAAAAAGGUGUUUCUGAUAUGGAGAAAAACCCUGCACUGCUCAUUUUAUUUCUUCAUCUUGAGAAUACAGCAAGUUUACCUUUUGUCUGGAAAAUGAUUCAGCAAAGCUAACACCAACAACAAUUUUUCAUGGCACUUUAAACCACCUUGAUGUGAGGAGCCAGCAUCAGAAUGGAUGGUGUCAAUAUCCUGAAAGUGGAGGUAACAGAGGUGGAUCUCGAGACUUGGCCAUGUUCUAGAUUAUAACUGGAUUAUCACAAGUGCUGUCGCCCCUGCUGUAUAUGACGCCCCCACCACCUACACCAGGUGUAGGAAAUGUCGGUCCUGGAGUGCCGUUGUCCUGCAGAGUUUUGCUCCAGCUCUAAACAAACACACCUGAACAACUAGAUCUGAAGAGUCACCAGAAAACUACAGGUAGGCGAGGUUUUAUCAGGGUUGGAAAUGAAAUCUGCAGGAUUUCGACA
Molecule: long non-coding RNA, 1946 nt
Organism: Paramisgurnus dabryanus
Lineage: Eukaryota; Metazoa; Chordata; Actinopteri; Cypriniformes; Cobitidae
Source: RefSeq, a predicted model, not a curated record